CCUACGGGAGGCAGUAGUAGGGAAUAUUGCGCAAUGGGCGAAAGCCUGACGCAGCGACGCCGCGUGAGGGAUGAAGGUCUUCGGAUCGUAAACCUCUGUCAGCAGGGAAGAACGGUCACUGUGCUAAUCAGCAGUGAAUUGACGGUACCUGCAAAGGAAGCACCGGCUAACUCCGUGCCAGCAGCCGCGGAAAUACGGAGGGUGCGAGCGUUAAUCGGAAUUACUGGGCGUAAGGCGCUCGUAGGCGGUAUGUCAAGUCAAGGGUGAAAUCCGCGGGCUUAACGUGGGAACUGCCUUUGAAGCUGUAAAACUGGUGGGUGUGAGGUGAGAGUGGAA
This 336-nucleotide ribosomal RNA is filed under the name uncultured bacterium. RNAcentral's name for it is "partial 16S ribosomal RNA". It matches the Rfam family "Bacterial small subunit ribosomal RNA", at positions 338 to 666 of the family's 1533-position model. The record is from RNAcentral.